This 761-nucleotide ribosomal RNA is filed under the name uncultured bacterium. Its description in RNAcentral is "bacterial SSU rRNA". It matches the Rfam family "Bacterial small subunit ribosomal RNA", at positions 61 to 811 of the family's 1533-position model. The record is from RNAcentral.
GUCGAGGGGCAGCAUGAAAGUUUGCUUGCAAACUUUUGAUGGCGACCGGCGCACGGGUGAGUAACACGUAUCCAACCUGCCUCAUACUCGGGGAUAGCCUUUCGAAAGAAAGAUUAAUACCCGAUGUCAUAGUCCUACCGCAUGAUGGGAUUAUUAAAGAAUUUCGGUAUGGGAUGGGGAUGCGUUCCAUUAGUUAGUUGGCGGGGUGACGGCCCACCAAGACAACGAUGGAUAGGGGUUCUGAGAGGAAGGUCCCCCACAUUGGAACUGAGACACGGUCCAAACUCCUACGGGAGGCAGCAGUGAGGAAUAUUGGUCAAUGGACGAGAGUCUGAACCAGCCAAGUAGCGUGAAGGAUGACUGCCCUAUGGGUUGUAAACUUCUUUUAUAUGGGAAUAAAACGUUCCACGUGUGGAAUUUUGUAUGUACCAUAUGAAUAAGGAUCGGCUAACUCCGUGCCAGCAGCCGCGGUAAUACGGAGGAUCCGAGCGUUAUCCGGAUUUAUUGGGUUUAAAGGGUGCGUAGGCGGGCACUUAAGCCGGCGGUCAAAUGUCGGGGCUCAACCCCGGCCUGCCGUCGGAACUGGGUGCCUUGAGUGGGCGAGAAGUAUGCGGAAUGCGUGGUGUAGCGGUGAAAUGCAUAGAUAUCACGCAGAACCCCGAUUGCGAAGGCAGCAUACCGGCGCCCUACUGACGCUGAGGCACGAAAGUGCGGGUAUCGAACAGGAUUAGAUACCCUGGUAGUCCGCACAGUAAACGAUG